RNAcentral lists this ribosomal RNA (330 nucleotides) under Enterobacter sp. RNAcentral describes it as "bacterial SSU rRNA". It matches the Rfam family "Bacterial small subunit ribosomal RNA", at positions 1108 to 1438 of the family's 1533-position model. The record is from RNAcentral. Lineage: Bacteria; Pseudomonadati; Pseudomonadota; Gammaproteobacteria; Enterobacterales; Enterobacteriaceae.
UCCUUUGUUGCCAGCGGUUAGGCCGGGAACUCAAAGGAGACUGCCAGUGAUAAACUGGAGGAAGGUGGGGAUGACGUCAAGUCAUCAUGGCCCUUACGAGUAGGGCUACACACGUGCUACAAUGGCGCAUACAAAGAGAAGCGACCUCGCGAGAGCAAGCGGACCUCAUAAAGUGCGUCGUAGUCCGGAUUGGAGUCUGCAACUCGACUCCAUGAAGUCGGAAUCGCUAGUAAUCGUGGAUCAGAAUGCCACGGUGAAUACGUUCCCGGGCCUUGUACACACCGCCCGUCACACCAUGGGAGUGGGUUGCAAAAGAAGUAGGUAGCUUAA